UACCGUGAAAAAAUUAGAGUGUUCAAAGCAGGCAGAUCCAAUUUUCUGCCACCGAAUACAUUAGCAUGGGAUAAUGGAAUAGGACCCUGUCCUCCUAUUUUCAGUUGGUUUUGGCAGCGCGAGGACUAGGGUAAUGAUUAAUAGGGAUAGUUGGGGGCAUUAAUAUUUAAUUGUCAGAGGUGAAAUUCUUGGAUUUAUGAAAGAUUAACUUCUGCGAAAGCAUCUGCCAAGGAUGUUUUCAUUAAUCAAGAACGAAAGUUAGGGGAUCGAAGACGAUCAGAUACCGUCGUAGUCUUAACCAUAAACGAUGCCGACCAGCGAUUAGGAGACGUUGAAUACAAAACACCACCAUCGGCGCGGUCGUCCUUGGCGUCUCUGUCCCUUUCAACGGGGGCAUGGCCGCGAGGGCGGUUUAGCCCGGUGGCACCGGUGAAUGACUCCCCU
This 444-nucleotide ribosomal RNA is filed under the name Acanthamoeba castellanii. RNAcentral's name for it is "SSU rRNA". It matches the Rfam family "Eukaryotic small subunit ribosomal RNA", at positions 753 to 1081 of the family's 1831-position model. The record is from RNAcentral. Lineage: Eukaryota; Discosea; Longamoebia; Acanthamoebidae.